CCUACGGGUGGCAGCAGUGAGGAAUAUUGGUCAAUGGACGAGAGUCUGAACCAGCCAAGUAGCGUGAAGGAUGACUGCCCUAUGGGUUGUAAACUUCUUUUAUAAAGGAAUAAAACGAGGCACGUGUGCCUUUUUGCAUGUACUUUAUGAAUAAGGAUCGGCUAACUCCGUGCCAGCAGCCGCGGUAAUACGGAGGAUCCGAGCGUUAUCCGGAUUUAUUGGGUUUAAAGGGAGCGGAGAUGGGUUGUUAAGUCAGUUGUGAAAGUUUGCGGCUUAACCGUAAAAUUGCAAUUGAUACUGGCAGUCUUGAGUACAGUUGAGGUAGGCGGAAUUCGAGGUGUAGCGGUGAAAUGCUUAGAUAUCACGAAGAACCCCGAUUGCGAAGGCAGCUUACUAAACUGUGACUGACAUUGAGGCUCGAAAGUGUGGGGAUCAAACAGGAUUAGAUACCCGAGUAGUC
RNAcentral lists this ribosomal RNA (460 nucleotides) under uncultured bacterium. RNAcentral describes it as "partial 16S ribosomal RNA". It matches the Rfam family "Bacterial small subunit ribosomal RNA", at positions 338 to 795 of the family's 1533-position model. The record is from RNAcentral.